CAGCCAUCAAAUCAGAGAAUAUUAGAGCUGUGAGGCACCUGGAGAUCUUUCUGGGCCAAACCCUUCAUUUUAUAGACAAAGAAACCGAGUCCCAGAUUGGCGAAGGGUCCCCUGAAGUUCCAGUGAUGUGUGAGGGGCUGGUUUUCCGUGGCUCCACCUCCUUCUUCUGUUUGGAUUUACUGGUGUAUUUCAGGAAUCACCGGCUGGGCUCCUCGCUUUAAACGUACGUCUUCAGAGUUGGAAACAGAAGCUACUGAAUUCUGUUGUUUUUGCUUAAAACGAGGUGGUAAAUGUU
Long non-coding RNA from Herpailurus yagouaroundi (jaguarundi), 295 nucleotides. RefSeq lists it as uncharacterized. The transcript is spliced from 2 exons. The record is from RefSeq and is a predicted model, not a curated record. NCBI's taxonomy places the organism in Eukaryota, Metazoa, Chordata, Mammalia, Carnivora, Felidae.